This 814-nucleotide ribosomal RNA is filed under the name uncultured bacterium. RNAcentral's name for it is "bacterial SSU rRNA". It matches the Rfam family "Bacterial small subunit ribosomal RNA", at positions 681 to 1503 of the family's 1533-position model. The record is from RNAcentral.
GUGAAAUGCGUAGAGAUCCGGAGGAACACCAAAGGCGAAGGCAGUGUCCUGGGGGUCGCCUGACGCUCGGGGGCGAGAGCUAGGGGAGCGAACGGGAUUAGAUACCCCGGUAGUCCUAGCCGUAAACGAUGACCACUAGAUGUGCGGGGGCUCGACCCCCUGCGUGUCGCAGUUAACACGCUAAGUGGUCCGCCUGGGGAGUACGGUCGCAAGAUUAAAACUCAAAGGAAUUGACGGGGACCCGCACAAGCAGCGGAGCGUGUGGUUUAAUUCGAUGCAACGCGAAGAACCUUACCAGGCUUGGACAUGCUCAGGACAGCACGAGAGAUCGUGCUCCCGCAUCGCGGGUCUGAGCACAGGUGCUGCAUGGCUGUCGUCAGCUCGUGCCGUGAGGUGUUGGGUUAAGUCCCGCAACGAGCGCAACCCUCAUCGCUAGUUAUAGGUUUCUAGCGAGACUGCCGCGAUUAACGUGGAGGAAGGUGGGGAUGACGUCAAGUCAGCACGGCCCUGACAGCCUGGGCGACACACACGCUACAAUGGCCGGGACAAGCAGUUGCCAACCCGCGAGGGGGAGCUAAUCUUGCCAAACCCGGUCUCAGUUCGGAUUGCAGGCUGCAACCCGCCUGCAUGAAGCAGGAGUUGCUAGUAACCGUGAGUCAGCACAUCACGGUGAAUACGUUCCCGGGUCUUGUACACACCGCCCGUCACACCACAAAAGUCGGCAACCCCUGAAGCCGCCGGGCUAACCGCAUUGCGGAGGCAAGCGUAGAGGGUGGGGUCGGUGAUUGGGGUGAAGUCGUAACAAGGUAACCGU